GCUGGAAUCGCUAGUAAUCGCGGAUCAGAAUGCCGCGGUGAAUACGUUCCCGGGUCUUGUACACACCGCCCGUCACACCAUGGGAGUCGGAAAUGCCCGAAGUCUGUGACCCAACCGGAAGGAGGGAGCAGCCGAAGGCAGGUCGGAUGACUGGGGUGAAGUCGUAACAAGGUAAC
RNAcentral lists this ribosomal RNA (176 nucleotides) under uncultured bacterium. RNAcentral describes it as "partial 16S ribosomal RNA". It matches the Rfam family "Bacterial small subunit ribosomal RNA", at positions 1325 to 1500 of the family's 1533-position model. The record is from RNAcentral.